Molecule: ribosomal RNA, 492 nt
Filed under: uncultured bacterium
Lineage: Bacteria
Description: partial 16S ribosomal RNA
Rfam family: Bacterial small subunit ribosomal RNA
Source: RNAcentral
AGUGAACGCUGGCGGUAGGCCUAACACAUGCAAGUCGAACGGCAGCACAGUAAGAGCUUGCUCUUACGGGUGGCGAGUGGCGGACGGGUGAGGAAUACAUCGGAAUCUACUUUUUCGUGGGGGAUAACGUAGGGAAACUUACGCUAAUACCGCAUACGACCUACGGGUGAAAGCAGGGGAUCUUCGGACCUUGCGCGAGUGAAUGAGCCGAUGUCGGAUUAGCUAGUUGGCGGGGUAAAGGCCCACCAAGGCGACGAUCCGUAGCUGGUCUGAGAGGAUGAUCAGCCACACUGGAACUGAGACACGGUCCAGACUCCUACGGGAGGCAGCAGUGGGGAAUAUUGGACAAUGGGCGCAAGCCUGAUCCAGCCAUACCGCGUGUGUGAAGAAGGCCUUCGGGUUGUAAAGCCCUUUUGUUGGGAAAGAAAAGCAGCAGGUUAAUACCCCGCUGUUCUGACGGUACCCAAAGAAUAAGCACCGGCUAACUUCGUG